RNAcentral lists this ribosomal RNA (477 nucleotides) under Candidatus Scalindua marina (nom. nud.). RNAcentral describes it as "bacterial SSU rRNA". It matches the Rfam family "Bacterial small subunit ribosomal RNA", at positions 365 to 832 of the family's 1533-position model. Lineage: Bacteria; Pseudomonadati; Planctomycetota; Candidatus Brocadiia; Candidatus Brocadiales; Candidatus Scalinduaceae. The record is from RNAcentral.
UUCGCAAUGCCCGAAAGGGUGACGAAGCGACGCCGCGUGGGUGAAGAAGGCCUUCGGGUUGUAAAGCCCUGUCAGGAGUUAUGAAAUGUAGGUGCGAUAAUACCGUGCCUAUUUGACAAAGGCUCCAAAGGAAGCCACGGCUAACUCUGUGCCAGCAGCCGCGGUAAUACAGAGGUGGCAAGCGUUGUUCGGAAUUAUUGGGCGUAAAGAGCACGUAGGUGGGUUUGUAAGUCAGAUGUGAAAGCCUUCUGUUCAACGGAAGAAUUGCAUCUGAAACUGCGAGUCUUGAGUGUAGGAGGGGAGAAUGGAACUUCUGGUGGAGCGGUGAAAUGCGUAGAUAUCAGAAGGAACGCCGGCGGCGAAAGCGAUUCUCUGGCCUAUUACUGACACUGAGUGUGCGAAAGCUAGGGGAGCAAACGGGAUUAGAUACCCCGGUAGUCCUAGCCGUAAACGAUGGGCACUAAGUAGAGGGGUUUU